UAAGCGGAGGAAAAGAAACUAACAAGGAUUCCCCUAGUAACGGCGAGUGAAGCGGGAAGAGCUCAAAUUUGAAAUCUGGUAGCCUUCGGUUGCCCGAGUUGUAAUCUAGAGAAGUGUUUUCCGUGCCGGCCCAUGUACAAGUCCCUUGGAACAGGGCGUCAUAGAGGGUGAGAAUCCCGUCCUUGACAUGGACCCCCGGUGCUUUGUGAUACACUUUCAACGAGUCGAGUUGUUUGGGAAUGCAGCUCAAAAUGGGUGGUGAAUUCCAUCUAAAGCUAAAUAUUGGCGAGAGACCGAUAGCGAACAAGUACCGUGAGGGAAAGAUGAAAAGCACUUUGGAAAGAGAGUUAAACAGUACGUGAAAUUGUUGAAAGGGAAACGAUUGAAGUCAGUCAUGCUCUUAGGAUUCAGCCGUUCUGCGGUGUAUUUCCUUUGAGUGGGGUCAACAUCAGUUUUGAUCGAUGGAUAAAGGCACGAGGAAGGUAGCACUCUCGGGUGAACUUAUAGCCUCGCGUCAUAUACAUUGAUUGGGACUGAGGAACGCAGCAUGCCUUUAUGGCCGGGAUUCGUCCACGUACAUGCUUAGGAUGUUGACAUAAUGGCUUUAAACGACCCGUCUUGAAACACG
Molecule: ribosomal RNA, 628 nt
Filed under: Naganishia adeliensis
Lineage: Eukaryota; Fungi; Basidiomycota; Tremellomycetes; Filobasidiales; Filobasidiaceae
Description: eukaryotic LSU rRNA
Rfam family: Eukaryotic large subunit ribosomal RNA
Source: RNAcentral